UCAGUCAGGUCUCCCUCCAUGUUUACCUAAGAGGAUAUUUACUGUGUUCUCCCCAGUCUGUACCAGCCAGUCAAUACCAGUCAGUCAGGUCUCCCUCCAUGUUUACCUAAGAGGAUAUUUACUGUGUUCUCCCCAGUCUGUACCAGCCAGUCAAUACCAGUCAGUCAGGUCUCCCUCCAUGUUUACCUAAGAGGAUAUUUACUGUGUUCUCCCUCGUCUGUACCAGCCAGUCAAUACCAGUCAGUCAGGUCUCCCUCCAUGUUUACCUAAGAGGAUAUUUACUGUGUUCUCCCCAGUCUGUACCAGCCAGUCAAUACCAGUCAGUCAGGUCUCCCUCCAUGUUUACCUAAGAGGAUAUUUACUGUGUUCUCCCCAGUCUGUACCAGCCAGUCAAUACCAGUCAGUCAGGUCUCCCUCCAUGUUUACCUAAGAGGAUAUUUACUGUGUUCUCCCUCGUCUGUACCAGCCAGUCAAUACCAGUCAGUCAGGUCUCCCUCCAUGUUUACCUAAGAGGAUAUUUACUGUGUUCUCCCCAGUCUGUACCAGCCACUCAAUACCAGUCAGUCAGGUCUCCCUCCAUGUUUACCUAAGAGGAUAUUUACUGUGUUCCCCCCAGUCUGUACCAGCCAGUCAAUACCAGUCAGUCAGGUCUCCCUCCAUGUUUACCUAAGAGGAUAUUUACUGUGUUCUCCCCAGUCUGUACCAGCCACUCAAUACCAGUCAGUCAGGUCUCCCUCCAUGUUUACCUAAGAGGAUAUUUACUGUGUUCUCCCCAGUCUGUACCAGCCAGUCAAUACCAGUCAGUCAGGUCUCCCUCCAUGUUUACCUAAGAGGAUAUUUACUGUGUUCUCCCCAGUCUGUACCAGCCAGUCAAUACCAGUCAGUCAGGUCUCCCUCCAUGUUUACCUAAGAGGAUAUUUACUGUGUUCUCCCUCGUCUGUACCAGCCAGUCAAUACCAGUCAGUCAGGUCUCCCUCCAUGUUUACCUAAGAGGAUAUUUACUGUGUUCUCCCCAGUCUGUACCAGCCAGUCAAUACCAGUCAGUCAGGUCUCCCUCCAUGUUUACCUAAGAGGAUAUUUACUGUGUUCUCCCCAGUCUGUACCAGCCAGUCAAUACCAGUCAGUCAGGUCUCCCUCCAUGUUUACCUAAGAGGAUAUUUACUGUGUUCUCCCUCGUCUGUACCAGCCAGUCAAUACCAGUCAGUCAGGUCUCCCUCCAUGUUUACCUAAGAGGAUAUUUACUGUGUUCUCCCCAGUCUGUACCAGCCAGUCAAUACCAGUCAGUCAGGUCUCCCUCCAUGUUUACCUAAGAGGAUAUUUACUGUGUUCUCCCUCGUCUGUACCAGCCAGUCAAUACCAGUCAGUCAGGUCUCCCUCCAUGUUUACCUAAGAGGAUAUUUACUGUGUUCUCCCCAGUCUGUACCAGCCAGUCAAUACCAGUCAGUCAGGUCUCCCUCCAUGUUUACCUAAGAGGAUAUUUCCUGUGUUUUGUUCUCCCCUCUGGUUUUUAUUCACAAAGCUAAUGGUCUGUAGUGUUUGCACGGCGUAUUUAUCUAAAUUCCUAUUAUGUAUUUCCACCCCCUUGGGCCCGAAGCGGGGAUUUUUCUCUCCACAAGGAUCAAAAUGCCAAUAAAAUUGUUCUAGCUAAUUUACUGCCGCUCACCCUGAACUUCCCAGGAUUGUUGUGCUGGUGUCCCCCAAAACUGUCCCCUUGCUGAAAAAGAUGUAAAUGGAGUUGUUUUGCGCCUCUUUCUCUACUCGCCCAGCCUAGGCUGCAUAGCCAACUAGGCUAGCCUCUGUAUGGUGAGGAGGCAUGCUGCGGGGAGUGGUUAGACAAGAAUGACGAACAGUGAUCACUAAGUCUGUGGCGAAGGACAUACUGCUCAACCCGGACCAGGCCCAAAACCCCGACACUCGAAAUAGGAAGAGUCGGCAUUAAAAGCCAGCGUGCGGGGAUACCUGACGAGACUACGAGGGAGAGUGGAUCAACCGCUUCUACCCUCCGUUCUAUUGGCGAACGUGCAAUCACUGGAGAAUAAACUGGACGAGCGCCGUUUGACACUAUCCUAUCAGCGAUGUCUGAAGAACCAGCUGUUCAUAUCAUAUCCUAUGUUUCUACGAGUCUUGUCUGAACAAGGACAUGGAAAAUAUAAAUCUAGCUGUUUUUUCUAUACAUAAGCAGAACAGAACGGCAGUGUCUUUAGUUAACAGCUGGUGCACAAUCUAUAUAUUAAGGAAAUCUCAAGGUUCUGCUCGCCUGAGUUAGAAUACCUCAUGAUAAGCUGCAGACUAUACUAUUUACCAAGAAUGUAUUUAUAUUUUUCGUAGCUGUCUACUUACCACCACAAACUGAUGCUGGCACUAAGACCACACUCAACGAGCUGUAUACGGCCAUAAGCUAGCAAGAAAAUGCACUCCUAGUGGCCGGUGAUUUUAAUGCAGGAAAAAUUAUUUCAUUUCUACCAAAAUAUCACCUGUGCAACCUGAGGCAAAACAAGAUAACUACAAUUCACCUUUACUCCACACAGACACUCAUACAAAGCUCUCCCUCGCCCUCCAUUUGGCAAAUCCGACCAUAACUCUAUCCUUCUGAUUCCUGCUUACAAGCAAAAACUCAAGCAGGAAGUACUAGUGACGCACUCAAUAUGGAAGGUCAGAUGAAGCUGACGCUAAGUUACAGGUCUGUUUUGCUAACACAGACUUGAAUAUCUUCCGGGAAUCAUCUGAUGGCAUCGAAGUUUAACAAAUCAGUCACCAGCUUCAUUAAUAAGCGCAUCGAUGACGUCGUCCCCACAGUGACCAUACGUACAUAUCCCAAUCAGAAGCCAUGGAUUACAGGCAACAUCAAAACUGAGCUAAAGGCGCGAGCUGCCACUUUCAAGGAGUAGGAAUACUGGUGUGCAAAAGAACCAAAAGGUAAAUAAAAACAACGUGGGGAUGAGGUAGGUAGGUUGGAUGGGCUAUUUACAGAUGGGCUAUGUACAGCUGCAGCGAUCGGUAAGCUGCUCAGAUAGCUUAAAGUUAGUGAAGGAGAUAUAAGUCUCCAACUUCAGCGAUGACCGGUGAGAUAUACCUGCUGGAGCGCUAAUCAAGACGCAGAAAUCCUGCUAUGCCGUCCGAUUAACCAUCAAACAGGCAAAGCUUCAAUACAGGAGUAAGAUCAAAUCCUACUGACGAGCAUCAGAGAUCAGAGAUCAAUGUGGUUGCAUGAAAUGAUAAUGUGCCCUAGUGGGCUGAACCGGCAUGGCGGCUUGUUAGACAAAGGGGAAAUGGGGGUCGACCUAAGAAGUCACGACAGAGUUAAUAAUUAUAACAAUUAAAAUGCUAAUCCUUUACACAUGAACGCUCACUCAUUCGGGAAAAAUUGCAAUCAAUCAAUAUAUUUACGCUCAGUGUGUCGUCUUGAUCGCUGGUGAAAAGUCUUUAUUUUGUAGAAUUGUCCGUCUCUCUCUCUCUGUCUUGGUUAGAGGGGAUAGUUCAAAGUGACAUUCGUUAUAGAAUGGAUGUUUCGGCGGUUGUCGUUUUUCACGUUCAAUGAUACUGAAUUCCUAGCUGCAGACUAGUAAUUAAUAUCAAAGACUUGUUCUUAUUCUGUCGAUAUCGAUAGUCUAAGAGUUUAACCAUGUGGUAUGGUUAAAAGAUUCAGCAAUGGUCUGCCACCUUUGUACUCCCGUGAUUGAGAAAAACAUGGUCUACUGAUAAUUUCUCAAAGUUGGGUUUUAUUCGGAAUGGCAGAGGAGGGCUGUCCCAGGAUGUCUGACCCUAACUGGGCUCAGGGGCGGUCCUCUGAUUUAGUUCAAAUCAAAAGGGAAUUGUAUUUUUCUUCAUUAAACAGUCCACAAUCAUAUUACCCAAUUAUACGAACAGUAUCAUACUCACUCAUUCAUCUUAUACAACAAUUAGAUGUCAAACUCAUAUCUGAGGCUAUUAUAUAAACAGCGUUAUGGUAAUGUGGCCACACCGUCUCUCUUGAGCUUCCCAAGUUGUGACAAAUGGACCAGUUCGUAGCUGGAUUCUUCUCCGAUCUUUUACACUUUCUCUGGAACAUGAAAUUUGUUCGUACCUCGAGUUCUGUGAGUUGGAAGCAAUUCCUUUAUGCUCCAUGGAAAAUGUUGAUCUCUAUACUGUGUGACCAUGAGGCAAGGUUUUCUUUAGGAAUUUACAACCUCACUCUGCCCACAGCAGUCUGGUUGUAGAAGCAGAGAGCGAGGGAUGGUGCUCGCUGUACUCAAAAGAGGGCAAUGUCAUGACACCGGUCACUUUGACCCUUCAUGUACAUGUUACCUCAACUACACUACCUUGUACCAUUGCACAUUGACUCGGUACUGGUACUCGUUGCGUAUAAAGCCUCGUUAUUGUUAUUUUAUUGUGUAACUAUUUAUACAUCUUUUAUUGUUACUUUUUACCUCUGCGUUGUUGGGAAAGGGCUUGUGAGGAAGCAUGUCACGGUAAAGUCCACACAUGUAUAAGCUUGCGACACAUGGGGAGAGGUUAGGGUGCGACUGUGCAGCCAGCUAUGUGACGCCACUCUGUUUACUGCAGAACGGUCUUGGAAAACUUUGUAUUAGAGCUACGUGACAUUUUUAUUUUCAUUUAACCAGGACAUCAAUUGUGAAUAUUGGCUGCAAAACCUGGCUGCAACCAACAGAAUCCAUAUCAUAGACAGUGUAUUAGUUGAGUUCCAUAGUACUGUCCACUGUACAACUCAUUAGUUGAGCUCCAUAGUACUGUACAACUCAUUAGUUGAGCUCCAUAGUACUGUCCACUGUACAACUCAUUAGUUGAGUUCCAUAGUACUGUCCACUGUACAACUCAUUAGUUGAGUUCCAUAGUACUGUCCACUGUACAACUCAUUAGUUGAGCUCCAUAGUACUGUCCACUGUACAACUCAUUAGUUGAGCUCCAUAGUACUGUCCACUGUACAACUCAUUAGUUGAGCUCCAUAGUACUGUCCACUGUACAACUCAUUAGUUGAGCUCCAUAGUACUGUCCACUGUACAACUCAUUAGUUGAGCUCCAUAGUACUGUCCACUGUACAACUCAUUAGUUGAGUUCCAUAGUACUGUCCACUGUACAACUCAUUAGUUGAGCUCCAUAGUACAACUCAUUAGUUGAGUUCCAUAGUACUGUCCACUGUACAACUCAUUAGUUGAGCUCCAUAGUACUGUCCACUGUACAACUCAUUAGUUGAGCUCCAUAGUACUGUCCACUGUACAACUCAUUAGUUGAGCUCCAUAGUACUGUCCACUGUACAACUCAUUAGUUGAGCUCCAUAGUACA
Oncorhynchus keta (chum salmon) is the source of this 5280-nucleotide long non-coding RNA. RefSeq lists it as uncharacterized. The transcript has 6 exons. NCBI's taxonomy places the organism in Eukaryota, Metazoa, Chordata, Actinopteri, Salmoniformes, Salmonidae. The record is from RefSeq and is a predicted model, not a curated record.